Molecule: ribosomal RNA, 984 nt
Filed under: Pseudomonas sp.
Lineage: Bacteria; Pseudomonadati; Pseudomonadota; Gammaproteobacteria; Pseudomonadales; Pseudomonadaceae
Description: bacterial SSU rRNA
Rfam family: Bacterial small subunit ribosomal RNA
Source: RNAcentral
AGGCUACACAUGCAAGUCGAGCGGCAGCACGGGUACUUGUACCUGGUGGCGAGCGGCGGACGGGUGAGUAAUGCCUAGGAAUCUGCCUGGUAGUGGGGGAUAACGCUCGGAAACGGACGCUAAUACCGCAUACGUCCUACGGGAGAAAGCAGGGGACCUUCGGGCCUUGCGCUAUCAGAUGAGCCUAGGUCGGAUUAGCUAGUUGGUGAGGUAAUGGCUCACCAAGGCGACGAUCCGUAACUGGUCUGAGAGGAUGAUCAGUCACACUGGAACUGAGACACGGUCCAGACUCCUACGGGAGGCAGCAGUGGGGAAUAUUGGACAAUGGGCGAAAGCCUGAUCCAGCCAUGCCGCGUGUGUGAAGAAGGUCUUCGGAUUGUAAAGCACUUUAAGUUGGGAGGAAGGGCAUUAACCUAAUACGUUAGUGUUUUGACGUUACCGACAGAAUAAGCACCGGCUAACUCUGUGCCAGCAGCCGCGGUAAUACAGAGGGUGCAAGCGUUAAUCGGAAUUACUGGGCGUAAAGCGCGCGUAGGUGGUUCGUUAAGUUGGAUGUGAAAUCCCCGGGCUCAACCUGGGAACUGCAUUCAAAACUGUCGAGCUAGAGUAUGGUAGAGGGUGGUGGAAUUUCCUGUGUAGCGGUGAAAUGCGUAGAUAUAGGAAGGAACACCAGUGGCGAAGGCGACCACCUGGACUGAUACUGACACUGAGGUGCGAAAGCGUGGGGAGCAAACAGGAUUAGAUACCCUGGUAGUCCACGCCGUAAACGAUGUCAACUAGCCGUUGGGAGCCUUGAGCUCUUAGUGGCGCAGCUAACGCAUUAAGUUGACCGCCUGGGGAGUACGGCCGCAAGGUUAAAACUCAAAUGAAUUGACGGGGGCCCGCACAAGCGGUGGAGCAUGUGGUUAAUUCGAAGCAACGCGAAGACCUUACAGGCUUGACUCCAUGACUUCCGAGAUGGAUGGUGCUUCGGAACUUGAACAG